UAAAAACUAACAAAAGCAACUGCCCCUAAAACUGUGAAACAUCUCCCUCUCUCAGUGCCUGAUUGUUUACUCUCACUCAAACUACUCUCUUAGUGCCUCAUUCUCUAUGGGCUUUGAGAACCAUGCACUGAUCUCGUUCUUUUUUCUGGAUCUUGCUCUCACAUCUCCAUCAUUCCAUCUUCUUCAUCGCUCGAAUCUCUUCUCAUUUUUCAUCUCAGUCUUAAUCAUGAUUUGAAUCUUUUUCUCGUACAAGUUUGUGCUGAUUUCGAUUGAAAUCUAAAUGGCUAGGUUCCUUAAUCUCCCUCUUAAUUAUGUUCUUGUACUCUUAAUUUGUGUUCUACUGCAAUCUUUUUUCAUAUCUUAUCAAUUUGUGAUUUUAUCUGAGUUAAUUGUUCUUCUAGAUUGGAUUCUGCUUUUCUUAGUUCCCUAUCGCAUGCGCUUAUUGUAGGUUAAACCCGUAAUUCAGUGAUUUAGAAAUUUGUUAUCAAAAUUUUAGGGUUUUCUUCUCUCAAUGAUUCAACAAUGCUUUAUCAGUUUCUGAUUCCAGUACUUUGUUUUUUUUUUCAACUUUAUCACUUUUCCCUGCGAUUUUCCAAACUUCCUUCGAAUUCAUCGCAGUCGUGGUAUCCGCCAUCAGUGAUGAGCACACCAAGCUCAUCAAAGCCUGCCACAUCUUCCGGUCAUUUCCUUUGAUCUCUUUUCUGAGUGACAGAUCACUGUACAUGAGCACCAAGAACAAUUCAAGUUUUUCAGAUCUUGAAAAGCCACAAGGUGAAUUCGAUGGAAAAGCAUGUGCAGCCAUUGAGCAAGUAGUCUUAUUUCUCUCUAUGAUACCAUGUUCCUCCAGCUUGAUGUGACUUCAUCCCAACUUCUUGUGAAUGGCUUCUUUAGGGAUGCAUGUUUCAAAAAACAACUUUCAGACACUGUGCACUCACUAUUGGAUUUAAGAGUUAUCCCCAUUUUCAAUGAAAAUGAUGCUGUUAGUACUAGGAAGGCACCAUAUGAGGUAUCUUGAUUUUCCUUAUCACCUUUUAUCUAUUCUUUUCUUUACUUCUAUUAAUUUUAAAAGUUCUAUUAGUACUUCAUAUGUUAUAUUUCCAAUUUUUUUUGUAGACACUCACAGAUCCAAUUAGGAAAACAUAUACUACUUGUAGCGAAUGCUCUAUAGAAUUUGAGGUGGAUGGACAAUACAAGUUAAACUAGAACUUGUAGUAUAUGAUUUGAAUAUUUUCCCGUGCUUUACUAUUUGUGAAUGACUUAUAUAUGGUUUGCUUUGACGUAGGCAAUGAUUCUUCCUGCUUCCAGAUUAGUUGCUCUAUAGAAUUUGAAUAUUUCAGCUUAUUCCUAGAUGUUCGUACAGUGGCAAAAGUUCAAGUAUGGAUCUUUAUUAUAUUCCAUCAUAUUAUUCCUUUUUCAGAUAUCUUGAACUAACAAGAUUCUUAUUUCAGGUGUUAGGUUCUAAUUAUCUUAGUGUGUUACUUGAGGCUAUUGAUAUAAGGUAACAAAAUUUCUUUUCCAAGAUGGUGAGCCUAAUAAUGUUGUUGAUGAUAGAGAUUUACAUACUAUUCUCAACUAUUAAUUAUUCUUCUUGUGUUGAAGCUUUUAAGCUGAAUAUGAGUAAUAAACUGCUAAGCACAAAAUGCUUUGGGAUAUUUUUUAAUGUAAAAUUGUAAAUUAGCUUGCCGUUUGAUUCAUCUCAUCUUUUUAAUACAUGUUUGUUACUUCUAAUUGGGUUGAUCUUUCUUUUCAGGGCACCAAAAUUAACAAUAUAAUUGAAUUAUGUGUUUCUUAAUUUUUCAUAUAUAUUCCUGACAUUAGGAUAUAAUAUUAUAAUCUUUAAUUACCUAAUUUAUUUAUUUUGAAAUGAAUUCAAUUUAAUUACCUAAUUUAUUUAUUUUGAUCGGUGGCUACAGUUUGUUUCUAUUAUAAUUAUAAUUUGUUCUUGUUGGUCUUGUUGUAAGUUUGAAUUAAAUUUGUUCUUUCUUAGGUUAUGGCUACAGUUUGUUUCUAUUAUAAUUAUAAUUUGAUCCUUGUUUUUGGUACAUUUUUAUUAUUAUUUAUCUUGAACAUAACAUUAGGUAUUUGAUUUUGAUGUCUUUUGCAGACUAGUGGAUCAUUAUAUGGUGCCUUAAUUGGUUCUGUUUUGGCCUUCAAUGUUGCUGACUUCCUAGGUAGAGCCGUAGAAGAAGGGAGCUGAUUUCAGCGGCAUUGUUAUAUCUUGUCAGAGCACUCGUAACAGCACUAGCUCCAAAUCUUCCUAUAUUGGUGAUAGGGAGAUUUGUUUAUGGUAUAGGAAUUGGAUUGGCAGGUUAUGGAAUCGGUAGCCUUCUGGUAGACACGGUAGCUGGGUGGCGCUAUAUGUAUGGAGUUAGUAGUCCUUUGGCAGUAAUAAUGGGAAUUGGAAUGUGUUGGCUCCCAGCUUCUCCUAGAUGGCUAAUUUUAUGUGCUAUACAGGGAAAAGGGGAUGGAGAGAAUUUGAAAAGCACCGCAAUUCAUUGUCUGAGCCGUCUUCGAGGUCAAGCUGUUGAGGACUCAGCUCAUCGGUAAGUCGAUGAAAUUCUGGCUGAGCUUGCUUAUGUAGGUGAAGAAAAAGAGGUUACUUUUGGAGAAAUGUUCAGAGGAAAAUGCUUGAAAGCCCUUACCAUUGGUGCAAGAUUGGUCUUGUUUCAACAGGAGGUGACAUGCAAUACCAUAAAAUGUUAUUGCAAUGUCAUUUGCGCCAAGGGAUUCUCAUGAAGCACAAGUACAGUUUGCUCUUGAAAGAGGUGUACCUGCUGUCAUUGGUGUUCUUAGAACCAUAAAAACACCUUAUCCUUCUGCGGCCUUCGACAUGGCUCAUUGUUCUUGUUGCUUAAUUCCUUGGGGAGCAAAUGAUGGAAUUUAUAUGAUUGAAGUAGACCGAGCUCUAAGACCUGGUGGUUAUUAGGUGCUUUUGGGACCUCCAAUAAACUGGAAGGCAAGUUAUAGAAACUGGCAGAGACCUAAGGAGGAACUCGAGGAAGACCAAAGAAAGAUUGAAGAGGUUGCUAAGUUCCUUUGCUGGGAGAAGAAGUCAGAGGAGGCUGAAAUUUCCAUUUGGCAAAAAACUAUGGACACCGAAUCAUGCCGUAGCAGACAAGAAGAAUCUAGCGUGAACUUUUAUGAAACAACCAAUGUUAAUGAUGUCUGGUAAGAAUCUUCCUAUUUAAACAAUUUGUAUAUUUUAGCAGUGUAUUAUUAUUAUUGCCAUUGUUUCUUUCUAUAAGCCAUGUGCAAGGAUGUAGACAUUUGCAUUAUGCAUUGAGCUAAAGAUAUUUGGGAGAAUAAUAGUGAUAUUUUCAUGUAUAAUUCUAAAAAAUGCUUUUCCAGUUUCCAAAGUAUCUUGAUAGUUACGAGGAUGUUCUCUUAACCAUAGUGACCUUGGAUUGAAACUGGCAAUAAGAAGCAGAUGAAAACAUCUUUGAAGUAUCUGUGACUGCUUAUUUUCCUUGUCAUCUUUCCAAUUUAUCAUUGUUUUAUGUCAUAUGAACCCUUUCAAUAGUCAGUCCAUAAUAUUAUUGUCAAAAUCAUUCUUUGAUAUGAUUUCAAGUCUCUGUUUGGUUUUGAUCCUUCAUCUGUGCUAGGCUGUGCUAGGCUCUAUUUGUUUUCUUUUGAUCAUUAACUAUGUGCUAAUCAUUGAUGUAACAUAGAUUUAUAGUAUUUAUGUUGUUUAAAUUUGUAUUAUGCUU
Molecule: non-coding RNA, 3707 nt
Organism: Arachis ipaensis
Lineage: Eukaryota; Viridiplantae; Streptophyta; Magnoliopsida; Fabales; Fabaceae
Source: RefSeq, a predicted model, not a curated record